CCAAGGAGUCUAACAUGUGCGCGAGUCGUCGGGUCUUGAAUAGGCCCGCAGGCGAAAUGAAAGUGAAGGGCGACCCUGUCGUCGCCUGCGUUGGGAUCCCCAGGCCGCUGCGUCUGGGGCGCACCAACGGCCCGUCCCGUCCGCGUCGUCGGUGGGACGGAGCGAGAGCGUACACGUUGGGACCCGAAAGAUGGUGAACUAUGCCUGGGCAGGACGAGGCCAGAGGAAACUCUGGUGGAGGUCCGCAGCGAUUCUGACGUGCAAAUCGAUCGUCAGACCUGGGUAUAGGGGCGAAAGACUAAUCGAACCGUCUAGUAGCUGGUUCCCUCCGAAGUUUCCCUCAGGAUAGCUGGCGCUCGAGGGAGUCAGUCUCAUCCGGUAAAGCGAAUGAUUAGAGGCCUUGGGGCCGAAACGACCUCAACCUAUUCUCAAACUUUCAAUGGGUGAGAAGUCCGGUUUACAUGACUGAAGCCCGGACAAUUCUCAGGAUGCGAGUGCCCAGUGGGCCACUUUU
RNAcentral lists this ribosomal RNA (514 nucleotides) under Paravaejovis puritanus. RNAcentral's name for it is "eukaryotic LSU rRNA". It matches the Rfam family "Eukaryotic large subunit ribosomal RNA", at positions 666 to 1138 of the family's 3401-position model. The record is from RNAcentral. RNAcentral also lists the same sequence under 4 other names. Lineage: Eukaryota; Metazoa; Arthropoda; Arachnida; Scorpiones; Vaejovidae.